RNAcentral lists this ribosomal RNA (290 nucleotides) under uncultured bacterium. RNAcentral describes it as "partial 16S ribosomal RNA". It matches the Rfam family "Bacterial small subunit ribosomal RNA", at positions 506 to 796 of the family's 1533-position model. The record is from RNAcentral.
UGCCAGCAGCCGCGGUAAUACGUAGGGGGCAAGCGUUAUCCGGAAUCACUGGGCGUAAAGGGAGUGUAGGCGGUCAAGCAAGUCAGAGGUGAAAGGCAUCGGCUCAACCGGUGUAAGCCUUUGAAACUGUUUGACUUGAGUGCAGGAGAGGUAAGUGGAAUUCCUAGUGUAGCGGUGAAAUGCGUAGAUAUUAGGAGGAACACCAGUGGCGAAGGCGACUUACUGGACUGUAACUGACGCUGAGGCUCGAAAGCGUGGGGAGCGAACAGGAUUAGAAACCCCCGUAGUCC